Molecule: ribosomal RNA, 399 nt
Filed under: Opomyza florum
Lineage: Eukaryota; Metazoa; Arthropoda; Insecta; Diptera; Opomyzidae
Description: partial 12S ribosomal RNA
Source: RNAcentral
CUGGGAUUAGAUACCCUGUUAUUUAAAAAGUAAUAAAUUUACUUAGGUAGUAUUAGUUAUUUUCUUGAAACUUAAAAAAUUUGGCGGUAUUUUAGUCUAUUCAGAGGAACCUGUUUUGUAAUCGAUAUUCCACGUUGUACCUCACUUAAAUUAGUUUUCAGUUUAUAUACCGUUGUUAUUAGAAUAUUUUAUAAAAAAAAUAAUUUUCUAGAAUUUAAAUAAAAAUUUAUAUCAAAUCAAGGUGUAGCUUAUGUUUAAGAAAUAAUGGGUUACAAUAAAUUUAUUUAUAUGGAUAUAAUUAUGAAAAAGUUAUUAAAAGUGGAUUUGAUAGUAAAGUUAUAGAGAUUAUUAAUUUGAUUAUAGCUCUAAAAUAUGCACAAAUCGCCCGUCACUCUCUGA